AGGAGGAACUACCACAGUGGCAGCGGCAGGAUCUGGAGCCCUGGAUUCAGCUCCCCCAGUAACUACGGAGCUCUCUGUCUGUAGGGGCCUGGAUCCUCCGCGGGCAG
RNAcentral lists this microRNA precursor (107 nucleotides) under Canis lupus familiaris (dog). RNAcentral's name for it is "mir-8834 microRNA precursor family". It matches the Rfam family "mir-8834 microRNA precursor family". The record is from Rfam by way of RNAcentral. Lineage: Eukaryota; Metazoa; Chordata; Mammalia; Carnivora; Canidae. RNAcentral also lists the same sequence under 1 other name.